GCUUGGUAAAACAGAAAACUUACACAGAAGGACUCCGAUUUUUUCGCUCUCAAAAACACCACCAUUGGCAUCAUUAAUAAGAUAUCCGACAUAGCCAUUGUCGACAAAAAACCAGUAUUUUCUCCAAAUUGCUUUGUUAUCUGCCUUGCUAGAACUGAUAUUUCUUAGUAACCACCCUUGACGUUUAGUUGCGUUUGUUUGACAUAUUUGCUGGGGAUCGAAACGAUAUGCGUCUAAAUUAGUUGGUGG
Schizosaccharomyces pombe (fission yeast) is the source of this 249-nucleotide non-coding RNA. The record is from the annotation of a GenBank genome assembly. NCBI's taxonomy places the organism in Eukaryota, Fungi, Ascomycota, Schizosaccharomycetes, Schizosaccharomycetales, Schizosaccharomycetaceae.